AGCCGGUACUCGCGAAUCAUCUAGNUUAGAGUUUGAUCCUGGCUCANGCGAUGAACGCUUGGCGGCUGUGCCUAAUACAUGCAAGUCGAGCGAAUGGAUUGAGAGCUUGCUCUCAAGAAGUUAGCGGCGGACGGGUGAGUAACACGUGGGUAACCUGCCCAUAAGACUGGGAUAACUCCGGGAAACCGGGGCUAAUACCGGAUAANAUUUUUGAACUGCAUAGGUUCGAAAUUGAAAGGCGGCUUCGGCUGUCACUUAUGGAUGGACCCGCUGUCUGCAUUAGCUAGUUGGUGAGGUAACGGCUCACCAAGCAACGAUGCGUAGCCGACCUGAGAGGGUGAUCUGGCCACACUGGGACUGAGACACGGCCCAGACUCCUACGGGGAGGCAGCAGUUAGGGAAUCUUUCCGNAAUGGACCGAAAGUCUGACGGAGCAACGCCGCGUGAGUUGAUGAAGGCUUUCGGGUCGUAAAACUUCUGUUGUUAUGCGCACAGAAACAAAGGUGCUAGUUGAAUAAGCUGGCAACCUUGACGGUACCUAACCCAGAAAAGCCANGGUUAAACUANCGUUGGCA
This 575-nucleotide ribosomal RNA is filed under the name uncultured bacterium. RNAcentral describes it as "bacterial SSU rRNA". It matches the Rfam family "Bacterial small subunit ribosomal RNA", at positions 1 to 513 of the family's 1533-position model. The record is from RNAcentral.